GGUGAGGUUUUCCUUCUAGUCAUUUUGCUCAGUGCAGAGUGGCGAAAAACAAGUUGUAUUGGGAAAAGGAGAAAAAGAGAGGAGAGAAAGAAGGAAAGAAAAGAGAAGAAGAAAAAAGAAGAAAGGAAGAAAAAAAAAGAAAAAGAGAAAGAAAGAGAAAGGAAAAAAGGGUCGGGGAAGCAAACAGAAAAAAAAAAAAAAAACACGGGGGAGUGUCUUCUGAUUCUGUGUACUUUAAGUCCCUUGACUUCCCCUGGAACUUGUCCGUCUAGCUGGUCUUCUGGGGGAGGGGCCUGUUGUGCUGAUUUUCAGGUGUUAGCACUUGGGGGAGCUGCUCUGCCCCUGCCUGGUGCAGGGCUCAGUGGGGGUUGUUUACCCCGUGAGGCCCCAGGAGGAACAACCCCAGUGGCGGGGCAGCUCUGCAGCCCUGGAUUCAGCUCCAGCAGUAACUCCAGAGCUCUCGGUCUGCAGGGCCUGGAGGCUCCGGGGCGGGCCGCUGAUCUGCUCAGCUGGGGCAGGAGCGUCCUCGCUGUCCUGGGCCCUCCCGGCCUCUGCCUGUCCUGGGGGGAGGCUGGAUCCUGGGCUGUGUCCCGGCGCCCUGUGCUCCGGGGCCUGCGCUGUUGGAUUCAUGCUCCCGCCCCACAGCCCCCUCCGCGGAGCCGCCCCCGAGCCCCCCGAGCUGCUCCGGGUCCCGCCGUGCGCGCUGCAGCCCUUAGGGAGCUCGUUGCACUCUCCCGGGGCGCAGGUGUCUGUCAGUGUCCCCGGGAACCCGAGCGCAUCCCCGCCCUCCUGGGUCCUGCUCCAACUCUUUGCGAGCCCCUUUCCCCCGGGAAGGUUGGUGCAGCUCCUGCGUCUCCAGGUCGGGGCUCUCCUGUCCUGGGGACACUCGCCCCGGCCUCGGCCCGGCUCCUCGCGGGCCCCUCCCCCUUGGAGGCCUUUGGUUUCUUUAAUUCUACACCCCCCCCCCCUGCCCCGUCUUCCUACCUGAUAGAAGCGCGAGUUCUCACUGCAGCAUUCCAGCUGUUUUCUCUUUAA
Molecule: long non-coding RNA, 1035 nt
Filed under: Canis lupus familiaris (dog)
Lineage: Eukaryota; Metazoa; Chordata; Mammalia; Carnivora; Canidae
Description: lncRNA (ENSCAFG00040013547.1)
Rfam family: mir-8799 microRNA precursor family (bases 563-651)
Source: RNAcentral